RNAcentral lists this ribosomal RNA (601 nucleotides) under uncultured bacterium. Its description in RNAcentral is "bacterial SSU rRNA". It matches the Rfam family "Bacterial small subunit ribosomal RNA", at positions 97 to 733 of the family's 1533-position model. The record is from RNAcentral.
GGCGCACGGGUGCGUAACGCGUGGGAAUCUGCCCUUAGGUACGGAAUAACAGUGAGAAAUUACUGCUAAUACCGUAUGAUGUCUUCGGACCAAAGAUUUAUCGCCUAGGGAUGAGCCCGCGUAGGAUUAGCUAGUUGGUGAGGUAAAGGCUCACCAAGGCUACGAUCCUUAGCUGGUCUGAGAGGAUGAUCAGCCACACUGGGACUGAGACACGGCCCAGACUCCUACGGGAGGCAGCAGUGGGGAAUAUUGGACAAUGGGCGAAAGCCUGAUCCAGCAAUGCCGCGUGAGUGAAGAAGGCCUUCGGGUUGUAAAGCUCUUUUACCCGGGAAGAUAAUGACCGUACCGGGAGAAUAAGCCCCGGCUAACUCCGUGCCAGCAGCCGCGGUAAUACGGAGGGGGCUAGCGUUGUUCGGAAUCACUGGGCGUAAAGCGUACGUAGGCGGCCAUUCAAGUCAGAGGUGAAAGCCCAGGGCUCAACCCUGGAACUGCCUUUGAAACUAGAUGGCUGGAACACGGGAGAGGUGAGUGGAAUUCCGAGUGUAGAGGUGAAAUUCGUAGAUAUUCGGAAGAACACCAGUGGCGAAGGCGGCUCACUGGA